Small nucleolar RNA from Pichia membranifaciens NRRL Y-2026, 85 nucleotides. It matches the Rfam family "Small nucleolar RNA SNORD24". Rfam says of the family: U24 is a member of the C/D class of snoRNA which contain the C (UGAUGA) and D (CUGA) box motifs. C/D box snoRNAs have been shown to act as methylation guides for a number of RNA targets. U24 is encoded within an intron of the gene for ribosomal protein L7a in mammals, chicken and Fugu. Lineage: Eukaryota; Fungi; Ascomycota; Pichiomycetes; Pichiales; Pichiaceae. The record is from Rfam.
CCCACAUGAUGUUACAAAUAUAUUUGCUACUUCAGACGCCUCCGGGCGAAUGAGACAUAUAAUUAUCACCAAGAUCUCUGAUGGG